RNAcentral lists this transfer RNA (72 nucleotides) under Planctomycetales bacterium. RNAcentral's name for it is "tRNA-Arg". It matches the Rfam family "tRNA". Rfam says of the family: Transfer RNA (tRNA) molecules are approximately 80 nucleotides in length. Their secondary structure includes four short double-helical elements and three loops (D, anti-codon, and T loops). Lineage: Bacteria; Pseudomonadati; Planctomycetota; Planctomycetia; Planctomycetales. The record is from RNAcentral.
GGCUCGAUGGUGAAAUGGAAAUCAUGCCGGGUUUCUACCCCGGUGUUCCAGGUUCAAAUCCUGGUCGAGCUG